RNAcentral lists this ribosomal RNA (468 nucleotides) under uncultured bacterium. RNAcentral describes it as "partial 16S ribosomal RNA". It matches the Rfam family "Bacterial small subunit ribosomal RNA", at positions 28 to 507 of the family's 1533-position model. The record is from RNAcentral.
GACGAACGCUGGCGGCGUGCUUAACACAUGCAAGUCGAACGGAAAGGCCCUGCUUUUGUGGGGUGCUCGAGUGGCGAACGGGUGAGUAACACGUGAGUAACCUGCCCUUGACUUUGGGAUAACUUCAGGAAACUGGGGCUAAUACCGGAUAGGAGCUCCUGCUGCAUGGUGGGGGUUGGAAAGUUUCGGCGGUUGGGGAUGGACUCGCGGCUUAUCAGCUUGUUGGUGGGGUAGUGGCUUACCAAGGCUUUGACGGGUAGCCGGCCUGAGAGGGUGACCGGCCACAUUGGGACUGAGGUACGGCCCAGACUCCUACGGGAGGCAGCGGUGGGGAAGAUUGCACGAUGGGCGGAAGCCUGAUGCAGCAACGCCGCGUGCGGGAUGACGGCCUUCGGGGUGUAAACCGCUUUCGCCUGUGACGAAGCGUGAGUGACGGUAAUGGGUAAAGAAGCACCGGCUAACUACGUG